RNAcentral lists this unclassified non-coding RNA (158 nucleotides) under uncultured Neofabraea. RNAcentral's name for it is "sequence contains ITS1". The record is from RNAcentral. Lineage: Eukaryota; Fungi; Ascomycota; Leotiomycetes; Helotiales; Dermateaceae.
CAGAGUUCAUGCCCUUCGGGGUAGAUCUCCCACCCUAUGUAUUUAUACCUUUGUUGCUUUGGCAGGCCUGCCUCGGCCACCGGCUCCGGCUGGUGAGCGCCUGCCAGAGGACCCCAAACUCUGAAUAUUAGUGUCGUCUGAGUACUAUAUAAUAGUUA